RNAcentral lists this long non-coding RNA (1179 nucleotides) under Triticum aestivum (bread wheat). RNAcentral's name for it is "long non-coding RNA (TAES_LNC004567)". The record is from RNAcentral. Lineage: Eukaryota; Viridiplantae; Streptophyta; Magnoliopsida; Poales; Poaceae.
CUGGAAUACGGUACUGCUUGACAUAGAACAAAUCAGCUCUUAUUACAAAGGGUAAUAAUACAAGUGUCUCAUGUUACAGAGGAUCACAUCAGCACGGCGACACUACGCCUGCGAUACUACACUUGCUCUAUGCUAGCAGCAGAACAACUCGUAGCAGCGGAAAUCUUCUAGUAGCGGAAUAACGACGAAGGUGGUGAACUCCACUCCGCAGGGACUCUGGCUGGGACACGAUCUAGCUCGCAGGAACGGAAACCACGACAAGCAAUCAAUCAAUCACUGCAUCACCUGCAAUCUGGCAUGACACGCCAGGUCAGUACAUUGAAUGUACUUGCAAGCUCACAACAACCAAAAGCAUCAAGGCAAGACAACAUAGCAUUAAUAGAUUAAUUAACAACUACUAUGAUGCAAAAGCAACUACUAAACAUGAUACGAAACUACUACAAUACUGAUAAACCACCAUCUCAGAUCUCAAUAACCAUCUCACCAUUGGUUAACCGGCCAAGCAAUAUACCAUCUCGAUCACCUCGUGAUCUAUACCUCGGCGUGAUCACCGCGUGACCACAUCACCAACUGAAUGAUCAUCUUCAAGAUCAUCCCAACAUCAUCAUCAUCAUCCUGCCAAACUGUCACAGCUCAUCAUAUCAACAUAUUAGUCCUAUAAAAGUCAUUCCGCCACGUGCGUGUUGAUCAAACGGUGUGACCUAGUACGAACUUAUUCCCAUGACCGAGGACGUGGCUAUCGAUAGAUUAAAAUACACUCUGCAGAGGUAGCGCACUUUACCCACACUACGGAACUCAAGGCCUCACACUCCCAUUCGGGUGGACCACGGAGUUCCGACGAAACCCUUCCCUUGCCAUGACACUCUCCCGGCCACUCCGACUCACUCCCUCUCAGGGCUAAGUCAUGGGUGGCCCAUGCCCACCAAAGGCAUCUACGGCCACCGUCGUGGCAAAACGGUCCCAAACGGGGACAAGGUACCAUAAAAACAAAUGAGCACACAAGGUUUAUGCCGUCCUACCUGAUCAGGGUAGCAUCCGCGCAUAACCUUCCCUCGUUGGAGGCACCAGCGAGAGGCAUGACAAAAGACCGAAUCAAGACCCCCCCCAUAAGGUAAGUGUGGUUGCACUUGAAAAGCCCGGUUCGGAGGCACCUGACCAACUUAAUGACGAAAUUUAUCC